GGAUCAAUUUACUGGUCGUGCCUAUGGUACGUACUGGUAUUGUUGGUUCCUCCUUUCUGAGGAGCCGCGAUGUCAUUAACUUGGUGUCGUGGGGAAUCAGGACUGUUACUUUGAAAAAUUAGAGUGUUUAAAGCAGGCUAACGCUUGAAUACAUUAGCAUGGAAUAAUGAAAUAGGACGUUUGAUUCUAUUUUGUUGGUUUCUAGGGUCGACGUAAUGAU
This 220-nucleotide ribosomal RNA is filed under the name uncultured fungus. RNAcentral's name for it is "partial 18S ribosomal RNA". The stretch from base 38 to 220 matches the Rfam family "Eukaryotic small subunit ribosomal RNA", at positions 684 to 869 of the family's 1831-position model. Lineage: Eukaryota; Fungi. The record is from RNAcentral.